RNAcentral lists this ribosomal RNA (332 nucleotides) under uncultured Desulfomonile sp. Its description in RNAcentral is "bacterial SSU rRNA". It matches the Rfam family "Bacterial small subunit ribosomal RNA", at positions 568 to 898 of the family's 1533-position model. The record is from RNAcentral. Lineage: Bacteria; Pseudomonadati; Thermodesulfobacteriota; Desulfomonilia; Desulfomonilales; Desulfomonilaceae.
CGUGUAGGCGGUCGAGUAAGUGGAAUGUGAAAUACUCCGGCUCACCCGGAGCACUGCAUCCCAAACUGCUCGGCUUGAGUAUGGGAGAGGACGAGGGAAUUCCUGGUGUAGCGGUGAAAUGCGUAGAUAUCAGGAGGAACACCGGUGGCGAAAGCGCUCGUCUGGCCCAAUACUGACGCUGAUGCGCGAAAGCUAGGGGAGCAAACGGGAUUAGAUACCCCGGUAGUCCUAGCCGUAAACGGUGAGCACUAGGUGUUGGAGGCAUCGACCCCUCCAGUGCCGUAGCUAACGCACUAAGUGCUCCGCCUGGGGAGUACGGCCGCAAGGUUGAA